This 492-nucleotide ribosomal RNA is filed under the name uncultured bacterium. RNAcentral describes it as "partial 16S ribosomal RNA". It matches the Rfam family "Bacterial small subunit ribosomal RNA", at positions 29 to 507 of the family's 1533-position model. The record is from RNAcentral.
AGUGAACGCUGGCGGUAGGCCUAACACAUGCAAGUCGAACGGCAGCACAGUAAGAGCUUGCUCUUACGGGUGGCGAGUGGUGGACGGGUGAGGAAUACAUCGGAAUCUACUUUUUCGUGGGGGAUAACGUAGGGAAACUUACGCUAAUACCGCAUACGACCUACGGGUGAAAGCAGGGGAUCUUCGGACCUUGCGCGAUUGAAUGAGCCGAUGUCGGAUUAGCUAGUUGGCGGGGUAAAGGCCCACCAAGGCGACGAUCCGUAGCUGGUCUGAGAGGAUGAUCAGCCACACUGGAACUGAGACACGGUCCAGGCUCCUACGGGAGGCAGCAGUGGGGAAUAUUGGACAAUGGGCGCAAGCCUGAUCCAGCCAUACCGCGUGGGUGAAGAAGGCCUUCGGGUUGUAAAGCCCUUUUGUUGGGAAAGAAAAGCAGCAGGUUAAUACCCCGCUGUUCUGACGGUACCCAAAGAAUAAGCACCGGCUAACUUCGUG